UUCUUGUUUUAAUAUAAGAAGUAAUUCCUGCCCAGUGACUAACACUUCAACGGCCGCGGUAUCCUAACCGUGCAAAGGUAGCAUAAUCACUUGCCCGUUAAUUGCGGGCUAGUAUGAAUGGACUAACGAAAUAAAAGCUGUCUCUAUAAGACCAAUAAAAGUUAUUCUCUAGUUGAAGAACCCUAGAUAAUCUCGAAGGACAAGAAGACCCUAUAGAGCUUUAUCUUAACAAAGAUAUAUUACUUUUCUAAGAUUCGGUUGGGGCGACCCGGGAAGUAAUAAUCAUCCCUUUUAUCCAGAUUAAUUAAUCUCACCCUUGACCCUUAUUCAAGAUCAUAAAAACAAGCUACCUUAGGGAUAACAGGCUAAUCCUACUAAAGAGUCCUUAUCAAUAGUGGGGUUUGGCACCUCGAUGUUGGCUUAGGGAAUCUAUAUGGCGCAAAAGUCAUAUAAAGAUGGUUUGUUCAACCAAAAAUACCCUACAUGAGCUGAGUUCAGACCGGCGUAAGCCAGGUUAGUUUCUAUCCUCGAUAAUAAUAUCUGUUUAUAGUACGAAAGGACCUAAAUAAGAAUAAUAAUUAUAUAUAAAGAAUUAAUAUAAUAUAAAAUAAACUACAUUCUUCAUAUACUAUG
Molecule: ribosomal RNA, 633 nt
Filed under: Octodriloides boninoi
Lineage: Eukaryota; Metazoa; Annelida; Clitellata; Crassiclitellata; Lumbricidae
Description: partial 16S ribosomal RNA
Rfam family: Bacterial large subunit ribosomal RNA
Source: RNAcentral